UACGGGGGGGGCAAGCGUUGUUCGGAAUUACUGGGCGUAAAGGGCUCGUAGGUGGCCAACUAAGUCAGACGUGAAAUCCCUCGGCUUAACCGGGGAACUGCGUCUGAUACUGGAUGGCUUGAGUUCGGGAGAGGGAUGCGGAAUUCCAGGUGUAGCGGUGAAAUGCGUAGAUAUCUGGAGGAACACCAGUGGCGAAAGCGGCUUUCUGGUCCUUAACUGACGCUGAGGCGCGAAAGCAUGGGGAGCGAACGGG
Molecule: ribosomal RNA, 253 nt
Filed under: uncultured bacterium
Lineage: Bacteria
Description: partial 16S ribosomal RNA
Rfam family: Bacterial small subunit ribosomal RNA
Source: RNAcentral